GCGUGAAGUGAUGAAAGGCUUUCGGGUCGUAAAACUCUGUUGUUAGGGAAGAACAAGUGCUAGUUGAAUAAGCUGGCACCUUGACGGUACCUAACCAGAAAGCCACGGCUAACUACGUGCCAGCAGCCGCGGUAAUACGUAGGUGGCAAGCGUUAUCCGGAAUUAUUGGGCGUAAAGCGCGCGCAGGUGGUUUCUUAAGUCUGAUGUGAAAGCCCACGGCUCAACCGUGGAGGGUCAUUGGAAACUGGGAGACUUGAGUGCAGAAGAGGAAAGUGGAAUUCCAUGUGUAGCGGUGAAAUGCGUAGAGAUAUGGAGGAACACCAGUGGCGAAGGCGACUUUCUGGUCUGUAACUGACACUGAGGCGCGAAAGCGUGGGGAGCAAACAGGAUUAGAUACCCUGGUAGUCCACGCCGUAAACGAUGAGUGCUAAGUGUUAGAGGGUUUCCGCCCUUUAGUGCUGAAGUUAACGCAUUAAGCACUCCGCCUGGGGAGUACGGCCGCAAGGCUGAAACUCAAAUGAG
This 522-nucleotide ribosomal RNA is filed under the name Bacillus thuringiensis. RNAcentral's name for it is "bacterial SSU rRNA". It matches the Rfam family "Bacterial small subunit ribosomal RNA", at positions 399 to 909 of the family's 1533-position model. The record is from RNAcentral. Lineage: Bacteria; Bacillati; Bacillota; Bacilli; Caryophanales; Bacillaceae.